CAGUCGCCACGGGAAUACGUAGGGUGCAAGCGUUAAUCGGAAUUACUGGGCGUAAAGCGUGCGCAGGCGGUUCUAUAAGACAGAUGUGAAAUCCCCGGGCUCAACCUGGGAACUGCAUUUGUGACUGUAGAGCUGGAGUGCGGCAGAGGGGGAUGGAAUUCCGCGUGUAGCAGUGAAAUGCGUAGAUAUGCGGAGAAACACCGAUGGCGAAGGCAAUCCCCUGGGCCUGCACUGACGCUCAUGCACGAAAGCGUGGGGAGCAAACAGGAUUAGAUACCCGCGUAGUCCCUGUCUCUUAUAC
This 301-nucleotide ribosomal RNA is filed under the name uncultured bacterium. RNAcentral describes it as "partial 16S ribosomal RNA". It matches the Rfam family "Bacterial small subunit ribosomal RNA", at positions 509 to 807 of the family's 1533-position model. The record is from RNAcentral.